This 447-nucleotide ribosomal RNA is filed under the name uncultured soil bacterium. RNAcentral's name for it is "bacterial SSU rRNA". It matches the Rfam family "Bacterial small subunit ribosomal RNA", at positions 26 to 518 of the family's 1533-position model. The record is from RNAcentral.
AGAACGAACGCUGGCGGCAUGCCUAAUACAUGCAAGUCGAACGAACUCUUCGGAGUUAGUGGCGCACGGGUGCGUAACGCGUGGGAAUCUGCCCCUUGGUUCGGAAUAACAGUUGGAAACGACUGCUAAUACCGGAUGAUGACGAGAGUCCAAAGAUUUAUCGCCAAGGGAUGAGCCCGCGUAGGAUUAGCUAGUUGGUGAGGUAAAGGCUCACCAAGGCAACGAUCCUUAGCUGGUCUGAGAGGAUGAUCAGCCACACUGGGACUGAGACACGGCCCAGACUCCUACGGGAGGCAGCAGUAGGGAAUAUUGGACAAUGGGCGAAAGCCUGAUCCAGCAAUGCCGCGUGAGUGAUGAAGGCCUUAGGGUUGUAAAGCUCUUUUACCCGAGAUGAUAAUGACAGUAUCGGGAAGAAUAAGCCCCGGCUAACCCCGUGCCAGCAGCCGC